This is a long non-coding RNA of Gorilla gorilla gorilla (western lowland gorilla), 452 nucleotides long. RefSeq lists it as uncharacterized. The record is from RefSeq and is a predicted model, not a curated record. Lineage: Eukaryota; Metazoa; Chordata; Mammalia; Primates; Hominidae. The transcript has 3 exons.
GCAAGAGAGAAAAUGUGUUGCCAAGGAGACCCAUUGUGUGCAGAGGAAGGAGGAGUAAUGAUACCUGUGACCAUGCAGCUAUAAUUUCCCCUGCCUCCAUCUCUUGACCUGCAAGAGCUCACAAAAGAUUGAGGUACUGAAGAUACUAAUAUGAACAAGAUGUAUGAACAGCCUGUCUUCAUUAAGCUUACGCUGUGAGGACAGAGAUCUAAUGUAUUACAGUAUAUUUGCUGAAGGAAAAUGUACUGUCUUUUAGCCAAGAGAUCUGGAAACAGAAGAAGUAGAAAUUUGGAAUGAAGAGAAGAGACGAGAAGAACUAGCCAAAAAAAUGUCAAAUGAAAAUUUUGUAAGCACCAUUAGUUUUUUUAAAAGUAAUUUGCAUACUUGAACCGUAAACUUGUGCUAAAGGCAACUAUAUAAGCAGUUAUAAAAAUUACAGAACUAAAAACUAC